Molecule: ribosomal RNA, 497 nt
Filed under: uncultured bacterium
Lineage: Bacteria
Description: partial 16S ribosomal RNA
Rfam family: Bacterial small subunit ribosomal RNA
Source: RNAcentral
GAUGAACGCUGGCGGCGUGCCUAAUACAUGCAAGUCGAGCGAACAGGCGAGGAGCUUGCUCCUCUGACGUUAGCGGCGGACGGGUGAGUAACACGUGGAUAACCUACCUAUAAGACUGGGAUAACUUCGGGAAACCGGAGCUAAUACCGGAUAAUAUAUUGAACCGCAUGGUUCAAUAGUGAAAGACGGUUUUGCUGUCACUUAUAGAUGGAUCCGCGCUGCAUUAGCUAGUUGGUAAGGUAACGGCUUACCAAGGCAACGAUGCGUAGCCGACCUGAGAGGGUGAUCGGCCACACUGGAACUGAGACACGGUCCAGACUCCUACGGGAGGCAGCAGUAGGGAAUCUUCCGCAAUGGGCGAAAGCCUGACGGAGCAACGCCGCGUGAGUGAUGAAGGUCUUCGGAUCGUAAAACUCUGUUAUUAGGGAAGAACAAAUGUGUAAGUAACUAUGCACGUCUUGACGGUACCUAAUCAGAAAGCCACGGCUAACUACGUG